AAGGUAGCAUAAUCAUUUGUUUUUUAAUUGAAAACUGGUAUGAAAGGUUAAACAAGGGAAAUUUUCUAAAUUUUUAAUAAAGUAAUUUGUAUUUUAAGUAAAAAUACUUAAAUAAAUUUGAGGGACGAUAAGACCCUAAAAGCUUUAUUUUUAAUGUAUAUCUUAAAAAUUAAUUUUAAUAUAAGAUUAAAUAUAAAAAUUAACUGGGGUAGUUAUUUCAAUUAAAUUGAAAUAAUUUUUACAGAUUUAAUAAGUGGAUUUAGUUCUUUUAUAUAAGGAAAAUUAGGUUUAGUUACUUUAGGGAUAACAGCGUUAUAUUUUUGGAGAGAUCUCUCCAUAAAAAUGAUUGCGACCUCGAUG
This 360-nucleotide ribosomal RNA is filed under the name Paralicella caperesca. RNAcentral's name for it is "partial large subunit ribosomal RNA". Lineage: Eukaryota; Metazoa; Arthropoda; Malacostraca; Amphipoda; Lysianassidae. The record is from RNAcentral.